Molecule: ribosomal RNA, 279 nt
Filed under: uncultured bacterium
Lineage: Bacteria
Description: partial 16S ribosomal RNA
Rfam family: Bacterial small subunit ribosomal RNA
Source: RNAcentral
UGCCAGCCGCCGCGGUAAUACGAAUGGAGCGAGCGUUGUUCGGAAUCAUUGGGCGUAAAGCGUAUGUAGGCGGACAGAUAAGUCAGAAGUGAAAUCCCGAGGCUCAACCUCGGAAUUGCUUUUGAAACUGACUGUCUCGAGUCCCGGAGGGGUAAGGGGAAUUCCGAGUGUAGAGGUGAAAUUCGCAGAUAUUCGGAGGAACACCAGUGGCGUAGGCGCCUUACUGGACGGGAACUGACGCUGAGAUACGAAAGCAUGGGUAGCAAACAGGAUUAGAUA